Molecule: ribosomal RNA, 430 nt
Filed under: Zhangixalus feae (Thao whipping frog)
Lineage: Eukaryota; Metazoa; Chordata; Amphibia; Anura; Rhacophoridae
Description: Rhacophorus feae (Thao whipping frog) partial 12S ribosomal RNA
Rfam family: Bacterial small subunit ribosomal RNA
Source: RNAcentral
AACUGGGAUUAGAUACCCCACUAUGCUUGAUCGUAAAAUUUAACCCACACCCAUAAACGCCAGGGUACUACGAGCCUUAGCUUAAAACCCAAAGGACUUGACGGUGUCCCACCCAACUAGAGGAGCCUGUUCUAUAAUCGAUGAUCCACGAUACACCAAACCAUUUCUUGCCAUUCAGCCUGUAUACCUCCGUCGCAAGCUUACCGUAUGAACGAAUAUUAGUAGGCCAAAGGACUUUAACGCCACAACGUCAGGUCAAGGUGCAGCUAAUGAAAUGGAGGUAAUGGGCUACAAUUUCUAAAUUAGAACAAACGAAACACUACAUGAAACAUAGUCAUGAAGGCGGAUUUAGCAGUAAGUAGGAAAUAGAGAGUCCUACUAAACAUGGCCCUGGGACGUGUACACACCGCCCGUCACCCUCUGCAGUCAA